RNAcentral lists this long non-coding RNA (221 nucleotides) under Vigna radiata. RNAcentral describes it as "long non-coding RNA (VRAD_LNC011393)". The record is from RNAcentral. Lineage: Eukaryota; Viridiplantae; Streptophyta; Magnoliopsida; Fabales; Fabaceae.
GGAUCCACUGGAACUGAACGAGAAGCCACAUCAGAGGGGGGAACCGUGAUCGUUACAGGAGGAUUGGAGGGGCCGGCUUUAGGAGGUUGAGACGUCCCGGCAAGAGAUGUUUUAUCUUGAACAGGAAUCCCAAAGGGAAUAGACCCCCCUGAAGGUAUCCGAGGAGACGCGAUCGUAACCCGUCCAGUAGGGGGCGGGCGUCUGGGAGGAGGGGCGGCGCC